This 329-nucleotide ribosomal RNA is filed under the name uncultured eukaryote. RNAcentral's name for it is "partial 18S ribosomal RNA". It matches the Rfam family "Eukaryotic small subunit ribosomal RNA", at positions 1470 to 1796 of the family's 1831-position model. The record is from RNAcentral.
CCCUUAGAUGUUCUGGGCCGCACGCGCGCUACACUGACGAUGGCAACGAGUUUUUCCUUCGCCGAAAGGUGUGGGUAAUCUUUUGAAACAUCGUCGUGCUGGGGAUAGAUCAUUGCAAUUUUUGAUCUUGAACGAGGAAUUCCUAGUAAGCGCGAGUCAUCAGCUCGCGUUGAUUACGUCCCUGCCCUUUGUACACACCGCCCGUCGCUACUACUGAUUGAAUGGUUUAGUGAGGACUCCUGAUUGGCGCCGCCGCCCCGGCAACGGAGCAGCGGACUGCCGAAAGGUUGUUCAAACUUGAUCAUUUAGAGGAAGUAAAAGUCGUAACA